Molecule: transfer RNA, 72 nt
Filed under: Camelus bactrianus (Bactrian camel)
Lineage: Eukaryota; Metazoa; Chordata; Mammalia; Artiodactyla; Camelidae
Also listed under: 3 other names
Rfam family: tRNA
About the family: Transfer RNA (tRNA) molecules are approximately 80 nucleotides in length. Their secondary structure includes four short double-helical elements and three loops (D, anti-codon, and T loops).
Source: Rfam by way of RNAcentral
GAGGGUGUAGCUCAGUGGUAGAGUGCAUGCCUAGUAUGCUUGAGGUCCUGGAUUCAAUCUCUAGUACCUCCA